UUUGCAUAUGGACCGAACCGGAACCGAACCGAAAUAAUUCGGUCGGUCCAAUCCGUUCCGCCAGAACCGAAAUUUUUAAAAAAUUUAAAUUAUUCUGUAUUAUAAAGAAAAUCAACCAGCAUGAUUAAUGAGAAAAAACCACCACAGAUAAUUCAAGGAGCUACAUUCAAAGCAGUAGCAUAACUCCAAAAUAGCCAUUAAGUUUACAAAUUUUAAAAACCAAAUACAUUAGGCUGCUAGUUGAUCAAAAACAAAAUAAAUAGCCAGAGAUGUUUUUGCAUUCGCCGUCAACAAAUAUACUCUUUUGAUCACCGGAUGUAUCAUCCAAAUCAAGAAUCAAAUUUUUUGAAGCAGCCUUAGCUUCCUCCUUUUUGCUUGUCCUUCCUGCCAAGUGCCAACUAUAAGACAUAAAUUCAUAAGCAAAUAGCCGGAUUACAGAACAGGCAAAUAGCUCGAAUAGAAUCCGUGGCUCGUAUCUUUGAUUCUCGAAUCGAAUCGAUUGUGAUGAAGUUAGGCGGUUAGGGUUAGCUGCGUGUGAAGUGUGAACUGAUGCGUGUGAUUUGUGAACGGCGCGGCGCUCGGAUGGGGAGGCUGGGAUGAUAGUCGAUGGAUUAGGUAUUUAGGUAUAGUGACUAUAGUCAGAUUAUUAGUAUAAUAUUUUAUAUAAUAUAUAAAAUAAAAAUAUUAAUUAUAUAUAUAUAUAUAUAUAAAAGUUCGGUCCAUUCGGUCCAGAAUCGAAAUUUCUCAACACGGACCGGAUCGGACCGUAUUUUAUUUUGGUCCGGACCGAAGUACCCGAACGGACCGAAAUUUCAGAAAAUCAGGACGAACCGGACCGAAAUUAUUCGGUUCGGUCCGGUUUUUCGAUUUCGGUUCGGUUUUCCUCAGCCCUAGGCUCCGUGUCCAAUUCAAACGUAUACAUUCCAGAGGGACGGAGGGAGUACAAAUUUUACCGAUACAUGAAAACUUGGCUGCUCUUAAGAGGAAACAUGUUACUCUUUACGUUUUAUAUUAUUUGACGUUUUGACUUUUGUCAUACAAAAAAUCGGACGUUGAUUGGAUCGUAAAAAUUAUUAUUUUUUAUUGAAUUUUUUGUGAAUUAAAAUAUUAAUUAUAUAUUUUUAUUCGGAUAAAAAAAUUUAACAAAUAAUAUUUUUAAAUACCGGACCAAAUCACUUAAAACUACACGCCCAAAGUGUUAAAUAUUAAAAAAGAUAGGGAAUAACCCAUUAAAAUAUAUUUGUAACAAAACUAUAUAGUAAAGAAAAUUGUAUGUAUUAUUAUAUUUAAACUGUCAAAAUCUAAUCAAUCUAUUAUUAGGUAGAAAUAUUUUUAUAGUAAAAUAUCCACCUAUGAGUUUUGUUGCAUGAGAAAAACCAUAUUUCUUAAUUAAAAUGAAUUCGAAGUCGGAGCACUUCUUCACACACCAUUUCAAGCAGGUAGUCGUUGGUCUCAACUCUCAACUCUCAAAG
This 1472-nucleotide long non-coding RNA is filed under the name Daucus carota (carrot). Its description in RNAcentral is "long non-coding RNA (DCAR_LNC000686)". Lineage: Eukaryota; Viridiplantae; Streptophyta; Magnoliopsida; Apiales; Apiaceae. The record is from RNAcentral.